Culex quinquefasciatus (southern house mosquito) is the source of this 295-nucleotide long non-coding RNA. RefSeq lists it as uncharacterized. The record is from RefSeq and is a predicted model, not a curated record. NCBI's taxonomy places the organism in Eukaryota, Metazoa, Arthropoda, Insecta, Diptera, Culicidae. The transcript is spliced from 2 exons.
GCACUCAGACUACGGGUCGGAGAACGCCUGCUGGAGAAUGGGCAGCGCCCGGAGGGGAACUGAAAUGAUGGAGAGGUUAAUUGGGAGUGACAUUUAAUCUCCGCGUCACAUCACAGCCACGACAUUUUUUUAAUUAUUAUGUGAAACAAUGGGUAGCGGAAUUUAUUUCCAUCGUGCACCUAAUGUUGGCAUAUCAGCACUAUAAAACACAUGAAACAAUGGGAAUUUCUUAAAAUUUUACAAAAAGAAUACUAAGAAAGUAAUUUUCAAUAAACAGGUAAAUAAUUUUGUUCAA